Molecule: transfer RNA, 73 nt
Filed under: Trichobilharzia regenti
Lineage: Eukaryota; Metazoa; Platyhelminthes; Trematoda; Strigeidida; Schistosomatidae
Rfam family: tRNA
About the family: Transfer RNA (tRNA) molecules are approximately 80 nucleotides in length. Their secondary structure includes four short double-helical elements and three loops (D, anti-codon, and T loops).
Source: Rfam by way of RNAcentral
ACCGUCAUAACUUAGUGGUUAGAGCACUGGUCUAGUAAACCAAAGGUCAAGAGUUCAAUUUUCUCUGGAGGCA